This 510-nucleotide unclassified non-coding RNA is filed under the name Zea mays. Its description in RNAcentral is "misc RNA Zm00001eb290410". The record is from RNAcentral. Lineage: Eukaryota; Viridiplantae; Streptophyta; Magnoliopsida; Poales; Poaceae.
UCCUCAUGAUAUGAUGUUUCACCACAAAUUUAUGACAUCACGACAGGGCACAGUUCUUUCUGGAGUUUGUUCCCAGCUUCAAAUCCUACGCAUCUCACCACCCGCUUGCUCGCGAUCUGAAUCAGUCCACAAGUGUGCCCAAAAUGUCAUCCUCUCUGAAGAGGAGGUACUCUUUAUCAGCCGCAAGCUUGACUUCAGAUCCACCAUACUCGGGCAGAAGAACAGUGUCGCCUUCCUUCAGAGCAACUGGGAUCAGAUUGCCUGCCUUGUCGCGCUCACCAGGGCCAACAGCCACCACUUUAGCAGCAUUCAGCUGCUUGGAUGUUUCCGGGAGGAGGAUGCCGCCGGCGGUCUUCUUGGGCUGCACCAGCUUCUCCACCAGCACCCGGUUCAGCGACGGGAGCAGCCUCUUGGCCAUCGCCGCCCUCCUCUCGUUUCCCUUCUUCUUGCGCAGCAAGACAAAGAAGAAAAAAGCUCGACGCUUCCACAGUUCCACUCGCGGCUCGCCUC